RNAcentral lists this transfer RNA (90 nucleotides) under Clostridium butyricum. RNAcentral describes it as "tRNA-Ser". It matches the Rfam family "tRNA". From Rfam's summary of the family: Transfer RNA (tRNA) molecules are approximately 80 nucleotides in length. Their secondary structure includes four short double-helical elements and three loops (D, anti-codon, and T loops). The record is from RNAcentral. RNAcentral also lists the same sequence under 33 other names. Lineage: Bacteria; Bacillati; Bacillota; Clostridia; Eubacteriales; Clostridiaceae.
GGAGAGAUGUCCGAGUGGUCGAAGGAGCACGCCUGGAAAGCGUGUAUAGGGGCAACUCUAUCAGGGGUUCAAAUCCCCUUCUCUCCGCCA